AAACCGGACAGAACCAACAGGGAUUGCCUUAGUAACUGCGAGUGAAGCGGCAAAGCUC
RNAcentral lists this ribosomal RNA (58 nucleotides) under Picoa juniperi. RNAcentral's name for it is "partial 18S ribosomal RNA". The record is from RNAcentral. Lineage: Eukaryota; Fungi; Ascomycota; Pezizomycetes; Pezizales; Pyronemataceae.